Molecule: long non-coding RNA, 402 nt
Filed under: Mytilus galloprovincialis (Mediterranean mussel)
Lineage: Eukaryota; Metazoa; Mollusca; Bivalvia; Mytilida; Mytilidae
Source: RNAcentral
GUUUGAUCCGUGCCAAUUGGCAAAGUAUUGCCAAUCACCCAAAAUUAUCCAAAAUCUUUCCCGAUCCUCCUGUCGUAGCUUUUCGGAAACCAGCAAGUCUAAAAGACUUAUUUGUGAAAGCUGCCGUCUCCUCUAAUAAAAGCUGUUCAACUACAGGAUGGUGCAAGUCAAGUGGUAACAAACGAUGUCUGACUUGCCAACAAAUACUGAAUACUUAAACAUUUACUUGCCACUCCACUGGGUCUGUGUACACAAUAUUUUGUAAUGUAACUUGCAAAACCCAGAAUGUUGUAUACAUUCUUCAGUGUCGAUGUGGCAUGCAGUAUGUUGGCGAGACAGAACAGCCAUUCAACAAACGCAUGAAUGGUCAUCGUUGUGACUACACCUGCAAGCCCGACCUCC